RNAcentral lists this ribosomal RNA (375 nucleotides) under uncultured organism. RNAcentral's name for it is "partial 16S ribosomal RNA". It matches the Rfam family "Bacterial small subunit ribosomal RNA", at positions 527 to 896 of the family's 1533-position model. The record is from RNAcentral.
GUAGGUGGCAAGCGUUGUCGGAACUUAUUGGGUCGUAGAGCGCGCGCAGGCGGUUCUUUAAGUCUGAUGUGAAAGCCCACGGCUCAACCGUGGAGGGUCAUUGGAAACUGGAGAACUUGAGUACAGAAGAGGAAAGCGGAAUUCCACGUGUAGCGGUGAAAUGCGUAGAGAUGUGGAGGAACACCAGUGGCGAAGGCGGCUUUCUGGUCUGUAACUGACGCUGAGGCGCGAAAGCGUGGGGAGCAAACAGGAUUAGAUACCCUGGUAGUCCACGCCGUAAACGAUGAGUGCUAAGUGUUAGGGGGGUUUUCCGCCCCCCUUAGUGCUGCAGCUAACGCAUUAAGCACUCCGCCUGGGAGUACGGCCGCAAGGCUG